Molecule: long non-coding RNA, 690 nt
Organism: Lolium perenne
Lineage: Eukaryota; Viridiplantae; Streptophyta; Magnoliopsida; Poales; Poaceae
Source: RefSeq, a predicted model, not a curated record
CCACCCCUCCUCACUUGCUCUCACUUUUCCACUCCCCACUCUUUCCUCCACUCCCACACACUCUCCUCCUAUCUCUCCCCACGAAAUUGCUGCUCCUCCUAGCUUCAUGGCCGGCCAUGGCCAUGAAAAGCUCUCCAUGAUGAAGCUCUCCCCCUCCCUCAAGCUCCUCCUCUCCAUGAGAGCAUCCCUCUCCUUUUUCUCCCCAACCCUAGAUGGUUUUCUCUCCUCUUCUUCUUCCUCCCUUGCUAAGUUUGGAUCUUGAUGCAGGUGCAUGUUGGUCCAAGCAUGGAGAAGCUUCACCUAUCCUCAGAUCUGAAGUUCUUGACCAAAAUCCAAAUCGAGUGAUUCAAAGUUCCACAGAUAGGUAUUGAAAAGAUCUACAACUUGGCGUUGGUCUCAUCCUCAAAUUUGUUACGGAUUUUGCGUGAUCAAGAUCUGGUCAGAUCUGACUUUGUCGAAUUAAACCAGGAGGCUGGAGACGAAUUUUUGAAUGAAACCAAUUGGGGGAUACUUAGUUGUGCCAUGGUGAUACCGAGAGAGGCAAUUGCUAAGUUAUGAUACUCUCAUACCUUUACUAGAUGCGAACGAUUCCGGAGAAGAAGAUGAAGUGGUUCGGACAAGGAUUUUAUUUAUAUUGACGGGAUUCUUAUAUUGAUGAAGUUGAAGAAGUCCAGGGACAAAUAAGCCAAG